RNAcentral lists this ribosomal RNA (253 nucleotides) under uncultured bacterium. Its description in RNAcentral is "partial 16S ribosomal RNA". It matches the Rfam family "Bacterial small subunit ribosomal RNA", at positions 524 to 776 of the family's 1533-position model. The record is from RNAcentral.
GACGGAGGGUGCUAGCGUUGUUCGGAAUUACUGGGCGUAAAGCGUGCGUAGGUGGUGAGUUAAGUCUGUCGUGAAAGCCCCGGGCUCAACCUGGGAAUGGCGAUGGAUACUGGCUCGCUAGAGUGCGGUAGAGGGUGGUGGAAUUCCCGGUGUAGCAGUGAAAUGCGUAGAGAUCGGGAGGAACAUCAGUUGCGAAGGCGGCCACCUGGACCAGCACUGACACUGAGGCACGAAAGCGUGGGGAGCAAACAGG